AUGGGUCAGAUCUUGCCGGAGGAGUUGACCACGUGGUUGGAUGAGGGUCAGGAGGGAAGCCGGAUGAGACCGCUGGUUGGGGAGUCGGAUAACGAACAGCACAGUGGAGUCUCAGGCGACCGAACACACAGGGACCUCCGUGUCUCGGCUGAGGCUGGUCUGUCGUCGUCCCCAGCGCUGUCUCCUGAAGCUUUGUCACACGGCGCCACCGUCCCGGGUGUGAGUCCCCGUCCACAGGACCAGACCAGUCUACUGGACCUGGGCCCAGAGAGAACUGAAGGUUUUCCAGGCUCCGACUCGUUCCACCCGCUCCUGGCUGAGUCCACCCACAAUGAGACAGUCGACCCCUCCAUGACCUUUCACAUGCUCGGACACACAGUGCCCAACUCGCCUGGAGGACGGCAAGCCAGCGGGGAAGGCAGCGUUUCCCCACCUUCUGAAAUCCACGCUGAUCUUUCUGUCGAGUCUGUACCGUCACCCGAGUGCCUGCGCACAGAGAUGCCUGCCUCACAGGAAUCUGUCCUCAUGUCGGAAGACACCACGAGGACAGACGUGGAGCUCACGGCUCUGGGUCUGUCAAAUGUAACCCUGUGUGAUGAUGCGACUGCUGCAGACCUACAGCAGCCAGCAGGACGGGCUGCACACUGGAACUGCAUUUUUGAACAGCCGAGAGAUUUUGUCCCGUUCGGUGACCUCUGUCCCAAAGAACUGACGACCGAGCAAGGGUCGAGCCUGAGGAAGGAUGCUCUGCUCACAGAUAAGAUAUUGGAAGCAGCCAGUGAGAAGGGGAUCCUGGAGCAGUCCCAGAUAACACUAGUGAGCCUGACGGACACCACGCUGCAGGACCUGGAGACGACCGCCACGGAGGAAGAGUGUGUUUGGGAAGACGAGCAUCCAGAUGAGGGGGGACAGAAAGGCCAAGAGGUGGAGGGGGCAGACUCUACACUGUCACCAGAGGAAAUGACGGAGGACCAGGACCACACUCAUCGAGUGAUGUUCCUGGAGGUUCAGUGGGGUCCGAGCCAAGGCCUUCAGGACGUCAACGAGCAGAAGCGCAGGUCUCUGCUCCAGAGAUCAUCUCGCAGGGUGGAAGUCAUCAAGGCCAAAGUGGCUCUGGAAAAGAAUCAAUCUGAAUCUAAAGCUGAGGCGUCUCAGCCAGUCACCCGUAAGACAAAGAUGAAAUCAGAACUUCAGCCUAAGACUAACAACAAGUCCGAGAAGGGAGAAGCUGAGCAGCCUGGCUUCUUCCAGCAGAAGUGCCAACUUCCUCCUCCACAGAGCGAUUUCAGGCAGAGAAAUAUGGACGAGUCGAAGAUCUACACACCUGAGCAAAGGAAACGGGAAGUUUCGGUGAUGUACAAGAGAACUCGCAGACUGUACGAACAGCUGGAGGAGGUGAAGCAUCAGAAAUCAAUCCGGAGCAGACAGGAAGCUUGUGCAGAAAACAGACUGAAGGCCAAAGAGUUCCACAAGGUUAAAAAACUAACAAAAGUGCACUGA
Molecule: long non-coding RNA, 1500 nt
Filed under: Scophthalmus maximus (turbot)
Lineage: Eukaryota; Metazoa; Chordata; Actinopteri; Pleuronectiformes; Scophthalmidae
Description: lncRNA (ENSSMAG00000031726.1)
Source: RNAcentral